Chelonia mydas (Green sea turtle) is the source of this 1913-nucleotide long non-coding RNA. RefSeq lists it as uncharacterized. The transcript is spliced from 3 exons. NCBI's taxonomy places the organism in Eukaryota, Metazoa, Chordata, Testudines, Cheloniidae. The record is from RefSeq and is a predicted model, not a curated record.
AAGCCUGAGGGAAAGGAAGCAGAAGCAGGAAAGAAGAACACAUCUAAAAGAGUGACAUCACAGGAAAAAGGAAAGCAGAACAUUGAGCAGCAAAGCAGCAAAAUGUAGAGAGAGCAGAAGGACCACUCAGAGGAAGGAAGACUACAGGAAAAGUUUAAACCUAUAAAUAGGGACAGAAAACUGGACAACGCUGUUAAAGAAAUACUGCUGAUACAAGACUUCUGCCGCCACGGGGAGCAACGCCAUGAACAAGAUGGAAGUCAAAACCAACCAAUAGGUUUUCAUGAGAUUACAGAAGACAGUAUGAUUUGUUUUUAAAUAGGUGUUUGAAAUAACGGUUAUUGGAAAUAGUUUUCAUGUUUCUAGGGGGGGUGCGUUAACAGGUGUAUUGGGGACUAUGUUUGUUGUUGUUAGUAAAAAAAAAAAAAAAAAAAGCUGCCUUUGCCCCCAAAGGUUUUACUAUAAAAAAGUUUCGCUGGACGUUGUUGAGAAUUUGGAAGCUGUACUGCCCCCAUAUGGCGUAAGCGGGAAUAGCGCUUUAUUUUUGUACAUUGUAUUUGAACAUAGUUUUUAGCCCCCCUUACUAAAAAAAAUGUUUCAGCAUUGAGGGGCAGGUUAUCCCCUAUAUAUAUAUAUAUAUAUAUAUAUAUAUAUAAAUUUCACAUAUGUUGUGUUGCUGUUAGUAAAAAGAACAUACAGGCUUAUGUGCUAAAAACAUUUUGUCUAUGUGUAUUGGCAGACUUAUCAAGCGUUAUCCCUCAAGAAGAAACGUUGAAGGGGGCCAAGAAAUUUCCCUCUGAAUCAGCAACAGUUUCCAGGGUUUGAAGCAAGGGUAUUAGGCACUCCGAUUUUGAACAGCCCUGCACAUCCAAAUCCCUCAUUACACAGAGCCAACUGCCUUUAAAGAGGGGCAAAAAAUUUCCCUCUGAGGCAGCUGCAGUGGAAGCAAGGGUAUUAGCCCCCCUGAUUUUGAACAGCCCUGCACAUCCAAAUCCUUCAUUACACAGAGCCAGCCAUCCUUAAAAAGGGCCAAGAAAUCUACUUCUGAAACAGCAACAGUUUCCAGAGGUGGGAAAUAGGGGAUCAGACCCCCCAAUUUUGAACCGCCCUGCACCUCCAGAGCCAAGAAAUCUACCUCUGCAGCUUCCAGGGACAUUGGUAAGCAAUCCAAAGGGGUCAAAGCCCUUAGUUCUCAACAACCCUAUGCCUUCACAGCCCAGAAGGAAUCAGCUUUAAAAAGGGUAAAAGCAAACAACCCUGUAGCAGCAACCAUGUCUGAGAUGGGUUUGAGCAGGGACUAGGGGCCAGCCCCCCUGCUUCUGGGCAACGCAGAACCUCUGCUACAAAUAACAACCUCCCCGUAGGUCUUGCUGCAUCAGUUGUUGUUUGUAAUGAGAUGUUUAGUGUUUAUACAUCUCUUGAGCGUUUAAUAGAUAAAAAGUUUUCGAAGCUAAUUCUUGAGGUUUUUCAAAAGCAAAAUGCUCCAGAAGAAAGGGUGGUUUUAGACCAAAAGAUAACAGAAACCCAGGCACUGAUUGAAAAGGUGGAAAGCGCAUUGAAGGUGGAAGGGAGGGUGUGACUAAACAUGAAACCUAAAAACAUAAAGAGGGGUUAGGGGGAAAAAUGGAAGAAAUCUAAAAAAUUGAGGAGGCUUUUGGCCAAAAACUUUAAAAAGCCAGAGCUUUUUACAGAAAAUAACCCCCCCAACCAAGAAAGGGAAAUAGACAUAGACUCCCCCCCGACCCCCUCUUCUGAAGGUCCAGAUUCUCCUGCUCCUAAUACACCUCCUUAGGUGUAUUUGGAAUGUGUGAGACACUGGAUAAGACCCCGAAGAGAGUUUAACACUUACGAAUAUUUUUAAGAAUUUCGUUUCACUAAUUUGGACAGAGUAAUGGGGUUCACAGAGGCCACGG